UGUGAGGUAGCACAGUGGAAGAGCACCAGGCCUGGAGUCUGGAAGACCUGGGUUCAGAUCUGGCCUCAUAU
This 71-nucleotide transfer RNA is filed under the name Monodelphis domestica (gray short-tailed opossum). It matches the Rfam family "tRNA". From Rfam's summary of the family: Transfer RNA (tRNA) molecules are approximately 80 nucleotides in length. Lineage: Eukaryota; Metazoa; Chordata; Mammalia; Didelphimorphia; Didelphidae. The record is from Rfam by way of RNAcentral.